UACGUAGGGUGCGAGCGUUAAUCGGAAUUACUGGGCGUAAAGCGUGCGUAGGCGGUUCUCCAAGUCCGUUGUGAAAGCCCCGGGCUCAACCUGGGAAUGGCAGUGGAAACUAGGGGACUGGAAUCUGGCAGAGGGGGGUGGAAUGCCGCGUGUAGCAGUGAAAUGCGUAGAGAUGCGGCGGAACACCGAUGGCGAAGGCAGCCCCCUGGGCUGAGAUUGACGCUCAGGCACGAAAGCGUGGGGAGCAAACAGGG
Molecule: ribosomal RNA, 254 nt
Filed under: uncultured bacterium
Lineage: Bacteria
Description: partial 16S ribosomal RNA
Rfam family: Bacterial small subunit ribosomal RNA
Source: RNAcentral